GUGCUGUGUGUUCAGCUCAGAGCGAACCAUUCUUUCGCCUUUCACUAAAGAGUAUCGUGUGCGGGGUACAAGCUGCUUAUCUCAAUGUUUGGAGAGGUUCCUGAAGGAGCAC
This 112-nucleotide small nuclear RNA is filed under the name Marchantia polymorpha subsp. ruderalis. RNAcentral describes it as "U5 spliceosomal RNA". It matches the Rfam family "U5 spliceosomal RNA". From Rfam's summary of the family: U5 RNA is a component of both types of known spliceosome. The precise function of this molecule is unknown, though it is known that the 5' loop is required for splice site selection and p220 binding, and that both the 3' stem-loop and the Sm site are important for Sm protein binding and cap methylation. The record is from Rfam by way of RNAcentral. Lineage: Eukaryota; Viridiplantae; Streptophyta; Marchantiopsida; Marchantiales; Marchantiaceae.